Naematelia encephala is the source of this 91-nucleotide non-coding RNA. The record is from the annotation of a GenBank genome assembly. Lineage: Eukaryota; Fungi; Basidiomycota; Tremellomycetes; Tremellales; Naemateliaceae.
GCCCGCGUGACCUAGUGGUAUGGUGUUACACUACGAAUUUCAGUGGUUCUGUGGCAUGUAGAAGUCGCGGUUUCGAAUACCGCCGUGGGUU